CCUACGGGAGGCAGCAGUAGGGAAUCUUCCACAAUGGACGCAAGUCUGAUGGAGCAACGCCGCGUAAGUGAAGAAGGUUUUCGGAUCGUAGAGCUCUGUUGUUGGUGAAGAAGGAUAGAGGUAGUAACUGGCCUUUAUUUGACGGUAAUCAACCAGAAAGUCACGGCUAACUACGUGCCAGCAGCCGCGGUAA
RNAcentral lists this ribosomal RNA (193 nucleotides) under uncultured bacterium. RNAcentral describes it as "partial 16S ribosomal RNA". It matches the Rfam family "Bacterial small subunit ribosomal RNA", at positions 338 to 523 of the family's 1533-position model. The record is from RNAcentral.